AAAGAACGCUGGCGGCAUGCAUAACACAUGCAAGUCGAACGAGACCUUCGGGUCUAGUGGCGCGCGGGUGCGUAAAGAGUGGGAAUCUGCACUUCGGUUGGGAAUAAAUGAGAGAAAUUUCAGGUAAUACUUUAUAAUGUCUUCGGACCAAGGAUUUAUCGCCGAGGGAUGAGCCCGCGUAGGAUAAGGUAGAUGGUGGGGUAAUGGCCUACCAAGCCGACGAGCCUUAGCUAGUCUGAGAGGAUGCUCCGCCACACUGGGACUGAGACCCGGCCCAGACUCCUCCGGAAGGCAGCAGUGGGUUUUUUUGUACUAUCCCCGAGAGUCUGUUCCAGCCCUCCCGCGUCACUGAUAAAGUCCUUAGGGUUGUACUGUUCUGUUACCCGGGAUGAUAAUGACAGUACCGUGAGAAUAAGCUCCCGCUUACUCCGUG
RNAcentral lists this ribosomal RNA (433 nucleotides) under uncultured bacterium. RNAcentral describes it as "partial 16S ribosomal RNA". It matches the Rfam family "Bacterial small subunit ribosomal RNA", at positions 31 to 507 of the family's 1533-position model. The record is from RNAcentral.